AUUGAACGCUGGCGGCAGGCCUAACACAUGCAAGUCGAGCGGAUGAGAGGAGUUUGCUCCUCGAUUCAGCGGCGGACGGGUGAGUAAUGCCUAGGAAUCUGCCCAGUAGCGGGGGACAACGUUUCGAAAGGAACGCUAAUACCGCAUACGUCCUACGGGAGAAAGUGGGGGAUCUUCGGACCUCACGCUAUUGGAUGAGCCUAGGUCGGAUUAGCUAGUUGGUAGGGUAAAGGCCUACCAAGGCGACGAUCCGUAACUGGUCUGAGAGGAUGAUCAGUCACACUGGAACUGAGACACGGUCCAGACUCCUACGGGAGGCAGCAGUGGGGAAUAUUGGACAAUGGGCGCAAGCCUGAUCCAGCCAUGCCGCGUGUGUGAAGAAGGCCCUCGGGUCGUAAAGCACUUUAAGUUGGGAGGAAGGGCUUACAGCGAAUACCUGUGAGUUUUGACGUUACCGACAGAAUAAGCACCGGCUAACUUCGUGCCAGCCGCCGCAGUAA
This 500-nucleotide ribosomal RNA is filed under the name uncultured bacterium. RNAcentral describes it as "partial 16S ribosomal RNA". It matches the Rfam family "Bacterial small subunit ribosomal RNA", at positions 30 to 523 of the family's 1533-position model. The record is from RNAcentral.